GGCUUGAGAGCUAAGGGACACUCCCGGAAGUGGCCUCUGGCCCGCGCUUUUCCCCUCCGGCGGGCGUUAGCUGCUCCUUAGAACUACGAUUCCCAGAAUUCUAUGGACUAGCAGGGGCGCUUCUUUUCUAUCGACUUGCAGGGCCACACAGUUCGGAGUUACGAAGCAGGGAAGGUAGCGGUAAACGGGAUGAGAGGCUCGGUUGAGGCGGCAUUCUGGGAAAUGGAGUCUAGGAGCAGGAAUGUCUUGGGCUCGCGGACGUCUUGAAUGGGCAGUCCGGAAGCCCAGUCUGCGCAGGCGCAUUAAGCUGUCUGGCCUGGCGGGUGCGUCCUCUUCGCUGGCAGCGCUGGUCGGAUUGCAGACCUCGGGGAAGGUACGUCGGUGCCUAAGGGAUCACGGCACCCUUGGGUGUUUCAGGCUGAGGCUCGAGGUCACCAUGAGCUUCAGGGCUGAGGCUGGAGAUUGAUACAGAGGAACAGAUCCUGGGACUGCUGGCGCCUUUGCAAUUCCUGACCAUCUCUAAGACAGUGAGCAAGGGCUAACCAUGGAGGAUAUGACCCAAAUGAUUGGAGAGAGAGCUCUGCCUUCUCAGGAUGAGAAUCACCCAGAGGAGGAGAUGGCUGCUGUGGUCUUGCCAGCUGGGCCCCAGGUGAGUCAGACUCAAUUCGCCUUCCUUAAAUACCAUUUUCAUUCUCAGCAGAUACUAGUCCUUCCUUCAUCCUGCAGCUUUGUGGCCCAGCUCUCCCUGCCCUCUCCUUGCAGCCUGGGCUCUGGAUUACUGAAUCUAGCUACCUUUUUUCCCCUUCUUUUCUCCCUCAUCUUUUGUGCAUCAUUUGAUACAACAGCUCCUUCUCACUUGAAGCUCCUUACUACGUUAGCCUAAGAGAUGUCACUCUUUAGAUUCUCCUCCUACCUUCCCUCUGCCUCCUUAUUGUGUUCGUGGCUCUUUCCGGGGGUCUGUCCUGGACCUUCUUGACAUUUCUCUGCACUCACAUCCUACACAGCUUUCAGCUGCCACCUCCGUGAAUAUGAGUCCC
This 1037-nucleotide long non-coding RNA is filed under the name Vombatus ursinus (common wombat). Its description in RNAcentral is "lncRNA (ENSVURG00010020426.1)". The record is from RNAcentral. Lineage: Eukaryota; Metazoa; Chordata; Mammalia; Diprotodontia; Vombatidae.